UCGCGGAGACAGACAGCUCCAGCAAGCGGAAGGGAGAAACAGUUCUCAGCCAGGUAGUCUCUAGCAGGCUCUGCAUCACAUGUCCAAGUAAAGAUGAAAAUGGGAAAGGAAAUGAGGAGAGGCAAGGAGGAAGUUAUGACUGAAGGUGGGACUCCACUCUUCCUGGCACAACACAGAGCAACAUGAACACUAGGAUGUAAGAAUGAAAACCAGAAGGCAAGACCUGAACAGUCUCCAGAGAGCUCUCCCCAAACAGAAGUGAUAGAGGUGAAAAUGCCUUUUGGUCACUGUCCUGGUCCACACAAUGAACGUCUUCAUUUCAAGCACUCUACAGAGAAUGUUUACGCUGGAUUUCUUCUGCCUCACUUAUCUCAUCUCUGCUAUUUGCACAUUAAUUUAAGGCAGGCUGAAAGGGAAAUUUUCACUGACCUUCUGUCCUUGCUAUCUUGUUCUCUUCAUUGCCUCAGGGCACGACUGUACAAAACAGAAUGGAAACCACCAAAAGGCCUUUGACCUCACAAAAAAAAAAAUUUCAGUAAGCUUCCAAGAGCUGACAAUAUACAUAUUUUUUGUCUCUCUCCCCUCCACCCCUGACCCCGCUGUCCAGGAUUUGUGUGGGUGCUGCUCUGCUCUGCCCCAGACAGCCUGGCACCCGCUCUGUGCUGACAGAUCCUCAAGCACAGUAGUAACUGCACCACACUUGGGCAACUGCUGCAACCCAGCCACCUUCCCUAGCCUGAGGGCCACCAACCUCACCCCAGGACCAUGCUGCUGAAGAACAACUGAAAUAACAGAGGCUGUAGUAUUAGGGCUUUUCCUCUGGAGCAUAUUUUCGUGUAUAUUUCGUGAAUAUAUGGGUCUCUUACGCAAACACACAAUACUGCUAAGCAUCAUUGUACUAAAAGGCACAUAAAGGGAGAGCCUUCUAUCCACAAAAAAAGCAGCCAAAGACCUCACCUUUUAUUGAAGCUACAGUUUUUUGGGAUCCUAACAUUACUGUAUACCACUAAAGACAUGCCCAAGCAUGUUAAAACCCAACACACAGGAUAUGCUUCAUGGACCCUCCCCAUAUUAUCACCUAUAUGGUUUUAUGAAAGAACUACGAAGUCACAAAGCAUUGCCCAUCCAGCGCCCUUGGCCACUAGCUAGAACAGCAUCAGCUGCACCUUCAGAUACUCACAUGCAGAUUCAACAUUACUACCACCAGAUCCUCUUCUUAAGCAGAGCGCAGAUGGAAAUAUUUCUCUAUGAUUACUCUCCAUUAUUCACCUCCUAUUCUGAAUUUCCACUACUACUUCUAUCAGUUUUGAUACUCUUUGGAUGCUCUUUUUUUCCCAGCUGAAAGAACUACGCAAGGAGGGAACCAUACUUCUACAUUGCGCAUACUCCAAAGUAUAAAAAGAAAGCAACAGAAUUUUCCUUGACUUUCCUUGAAUUUUCCUUUCCUAUGGUAGCUGCAUGCUAUCAUACUAAAGCAUACAAAACCGAAUGAAAAAAGACCCAAGUUCUGUCCUGGACUUGAAUACAUGGGAAUGUUAUUUCCCAGUAGGAAAGGGGUAUGUAUUUGAACGGCUGCUGAACUCCUAUGCUUAUUUCGCAUCACAAACACUUCCAAUCAUUCAGUCUGAAGUUAUCUAAGAUGAUUCAACCACAUCUCUUGGCCUUGCAGUAUGUGCAUUGUUAUUUGAAGAGUGCUGUCAUAAUGAUUAACUCUCCCAAAUUAUCAGUAAAUCGAGGUCUUUGGCACCAGACUUUUGUAAACUGAAAUUUACUCACAGUCCUAGUAAAAGAUUAGUUAAAUAGGCCUUAUUUUAU
Cuculus canorus (common cuckoo) is the source of this 1815-nucleotide long non-coding RNA. RefSeq lists it as uncharacterized. NCBI's taxonomy places the organism in Eukaryota, Metazoa, Chordata, Aves, Cuculiformes, Cuculidae. The transcript has 3 exons. The record is from RefSeq and is a predicted model, not a curated record.